GUAUCCUGGCUCAGGAUGAACGCUAGCUACAGGCUUAACACAUGCAAGUCGAGGGGCAGCAUGGUCUUAGCUUGCUAAGGCUGAUGGCGACCGGCGCACGGGUGAGUAACACGUAUCCAACCUGCCGUCUACUCUUGGCCAGCCUUCUGAAAGGAAGAUUAAUCCAGGAUGGCAUCAUGAGUUCACAUGUCCGCAUGAUUAAAGGUAUUUUCCGGUAGACGAUGGGGA
Molecule: ribosomal RNA, 228 nt
Filed under: uncultured bacterium
Lineage: Bacteria
Description: partial 16S ribosomal RNA
Rfam family: Bacterial small subunit ribosomal RNA
Source: RNAcentral